CGGGAUGUGGCGCAGCCUGGUAGCGCGUUCGCUUGGGGUGCGAAAGGUCGUGAGUUCAAAUCUCGCCAUCCCGACCA
This 77-nucleotide transfer RNA is filed under the name Pseudomonadota bacterium. RNAcentral's name for it is "tRNA-Pro". It matches the Rfam family "tRNA". From Rfam's summary of the family: Transfer RNA (tRNA) molecules are approximately 80 nucleotides in length. Their secondary structure includes four short double-helical elements and three loops (D, anti-codon, and T loops). RNAcentral also lists the same sequence under 2 other names. The record is from RNAcentral. Lineage: Bacteria; Pseudomonadati; Pseudomonadota.